Molecule: long non-coding RNA, 96 nt
Organism: Etheostoma spectabile (orangethroat darter)
Lineage: Eukaryota; Metazoa; Chordata; Actinopteri; Perciformes; Percidae
Exons: 3
Source: RefSeq, a predicted model, not a curated record
GAUAAAACAGGCCUUGAGUUGUCUGUGCAAUUAAUUGAAAUUUAAUCGUAAUUAUGAUUUUGGCUCCCAAUGAUCACAAAAACAGAAUAAUCGAGA